AAUCAACGCUGGCGGCGUGCCUCAGACAUGCAAGUCGAACGCGAAAGGUUCCUUCGGGAGCCGAGUAGAGUGGCGCUCGGGUGAGUAACACGUAGGUAAUUUGCCUUUGGGUGGGAAUAACAAUCGGAAACGGUUGCUAAUACCGCAUAAUGCAGCGGCUCGACAUCGAGACAGUUGUUAAAGCGGGGGAUCCUUCGGGACCUCGCGCCUAAAGAGAAGCCUGCGGCGGAUUAGUCAGUUGGUGAGGUAAUGGCUCACCAAGGCGGCGAUCCGUAACCGGCCUGA
This 285-nucleotide ribosomal RNA is filed under the name uncultured bacterium. RNAcentral describes it as "partial 16S ribosomal RNA". It matches the Rfam family "Bacterial small subunit ribosomal RNA", at positions 32 to 295 of the family's 1533-position model. The record is from RNAcentral.